GAUAUACACCCUCCGUCCGGAAAUACUUGUUGGAGAAACGAAUGUAUCUAAACAUAUUUUAGUUCUAGAUACAUUCAUUUUUAUUCAUUUUUCUGAAAAGUAUUUCCAGACGGAGGAGAGUAUGUA
This is a non-coding RNA of Hordeum vulgare subsp. vulgare (domesticated barley), 126 nucleotides long. The record is from Rfam. NCBI's taxonomy places the organism in Eukaryota, Viridiplantae, Streptophyta, Magnoliopsida, Poales, Poaceae.